RNAcentral lists this long non-coding RNA (276 nucleotides) under Phaseolus vulgaris (common bean). RNAcentral's name for it is "long non-coding RNA (PVUL_LNC002504)". Lineage: Eukaryota; Viridiplantae; Streptophyta; Magnoliopsida; Fabales; Fabaceae. The record is from RNAcentral.
GGUGUUUAGGAGGAAUGCUGCAAACAGGGCUGAAAAUGAAGAAGAAAAUGCUGAUGGAGUGCAGAAUAUGGAUGCAUCACCAGUACACUCUGCUGGACAUGAAGAUAUUGCUGCUACAAGUCAAAAUGCAAUGGUUGCAUAUGAGGAACCUGAGUACAGAGGUGAACCUCUGUCUAUGUUUGAAAGACAGGUGCUAAGCAGGCUGGACACACUCACAGAUGAGCAUAAGGCACACUAUGAAAUGACUUACUCCAGAUUUCAACACUUGGAUGACCA